This 315-nucleotide ribosomal RNA is filed under the name uncultured bacterium. RNAcentral describes it as "bacterial SSU rRNA". It matches the Rfam family "Bacterial small subunit ribosomal RNA", at positions 28 to 334 of the family's 1533-position model. The record is from RNAcentral.
GACGAACGCUGGCGGCGCGCCUAACACAUGCAAGUCGAACGAGCGAGAGAGAGCUUGCUUUCUCGAGCGAGUGGCGAACGGGUGAGUAACGCGUGAGGAACCUGCCUCAAAGAGGGGGACAACAGUUGGAAACGACUGCUAAUACCGGAUAACAACACUAGACGCAUGUCUAGAGUUUGAAAGAUGGUUCUGCUAUCACUCUUGGAUGGACCUGCGGUGCAUUAGCUAGUUGGUAAGGUAACGGCUUACCAAGGCAAUGAUGCAUAGCCGAGUUGAGAGACUGAUCGGCCACAUUGGGACUGAGACACGGCCCAA